UUGAACGCUGGCGGCAGGCCUAACACAUGCAAGUCGAGCGGAUGAAGGGAGCUUGCUCCUGGUUUCAGCGGCGCACGGGUGAGUGUUGCCUAGGAAUCUGCCUGGCAGUGGGGGAUAACGUCCGGAAACGGGCGCUAAUACCGCAUACGUCCUGAGGGAGAAAGUGGGGGAUCUUCGGACCUCUCGCUAUCAGAUGAGCCUAGGUCGGAUUAGCUAGUUGGUGGGGUAAAGGCCUACCAAGGCGACGAUCCGUAACUGGUCUGCGUGGAGGAUCAGUCACACUGGAACUGAAACACGGUCCUGACUCCUAAGGGAGGCAGCAGUGGGGUAUAUUGGACAAUGGGCGAAAGCCUGAUCCAGCCAUGCGGCGUGUGUGAAGAAGGUCUUCGGAUUGUAAAGCACGUUAAGUUGGGAGGAAGGGCAGUAAGUUAAUACCUUGCUGUUUUGACGUUACCAACAGAAUAAGCACCGGCUAACUUCGUG
Molecule: ribosomal RNA, 483 nt
Filed under: uncultured bacterium
Lineage: Bacteria
Description: partial 16S ribosomal RNA
Rfam family: Bacterial small subunit ribosomal RNA
Source: RNAcentral